UGAGUAACCUGCCCUUAACUCUGGGAUAAGCCUGGGAAACUGGGUCUAAUACCGGAUAUGACUCCUCAUCGCAUGGUGGGGGGUGGAAAGCUUUAUUGUGGUUUUGGAUGGACUCGCGGCCUAUCAGCUUGUUGGUGAGGUAGUGGCUCACCAAGGCGACGACGGGUAGCCGGCCUGAGAGGGUGACCGGCACACUGGGACUGAGACACGGCCCAGACUCCUACGGGAGCAG
This 232-nucleotide ribosomal RNA is filed under the name uncultured bacterium. RNAcentral's name for it is "partial 16S ribosomal RNA". It matches the Rfam family "Bacterial small subunit ribosomal RNA", at positions 118 to 347 of the family's 1533-position model. The record is from RNAcentral.